This 241-nucleotide ribosomal RNA is filed under the name uncultured bacterium. Its description in RNAcentral is "partial 16S ribosomal RNA". It matches the Rfam family "Bacterial small subunit ribosomal RNA", at positions 95 to 334 of the family's 1533-position model. The record is from RNAcentral.
CCGGCGCACGGGUGAGUAACACGUAUCCAACCUGCCGUCUACUCUUGGCCAGCCUUCUGAAAGGAAGAUUAAUCCAGGAUGGGAUCAUGAGUUCACAUGUCCGCAUGAUUAAAGGUAUUUUCCGGUAGACGAUGGGGAUGCGUUCCAUUAGAUAGUAGGCGGGGUAACGGCCCACCUAGUCAACGAUGGAUAGGGGUCCUGAGAGGAAGGUCCCCCACAUUGGAACUGAGACACGGUCCAA